AUAAAACAAACUGUAUUAUAUUAAUACUUCAAUAAUUAUUCAAGAGACAUACGGAUUGUUUAUAAAUUUCAACAUAUGAUGAUAAUACAAUCCACAUCCAGAAAUACUCAACAAAUUAAGCAAUAUGAUACAGACCAUAAAUAUAAUCCUCACACAUAUAAUAUAAUCAUUAAUUACAUGAUCAUCAAUUAAUAUAAGAGAACAAAGCUUUAGCCACUGCCACCUGCAUGAAAUUGGCUCCUGGGAAUACCGUGGUGGUUAGUUAGAUCGAUUGCAGGGGCCUCAGGUUUCACAUUCUGGUCGUCCUCCUCCGCCAGUACCCGGCCGCUACUCCUAUGAUGCACGUCAUAGGAAUAGGUUUCGGUAUUUAAAGCCCUUCUGUUUGCAGCCAAGCAAGAGCUCAGCAGUACCGCAAGCACCACAGCAAGCCCUAAAAGCCUCAUUCUUCCACUCAUUUGAUCUCUUCUCCGAUCCCUGUUAUAUAAAGUUCGGACAAAAUUCAAGUUUAAUAAUGCAUCUGAGUCUCAUUUAUAUAUACGAUAAAAUUUAUAACAAUUUUUUUUCUUUUCAAAAAAGAAAGAAACAAUAACAAGAAGAUUAUAGAUGGUCAGAUAAUAACAAUAUCUACGCUUAGUUGGAGAUGCAUUUAGGAUAUUUACUUACCUAGCCAAAGAUUGAGAGCUAAGAGUUUGGUGAUGAUUUGUGCGGAGGAAUGAGAAGUUUGAACUCUUUAUAUAGAGGCAUAUGCUAGGGUUAAUCGACGGAUAUAAUAUAAAUUAACUUGGUGGAAAACAUUUUGGGUUUUCCCGGUGCAUGCUCUCUCAUCCGUUGAUUCUUGCUACGUAUGUAUUUGCUCUAACA
Molecule: long non-coding RNA, 861 nt
Filed under: Citrus maxima (pomelo)
Lineage: Eukaryota; Viridiplantae; Streptophyta; Magnoliopsida; Sapindales; Rutaceae
Description: long non-coding RNA (CMAX_LNC001561)
Source: RNAcentral